ACAAAUAGCCCUGGGCUCCCCAGGCUGCUGAGUCCAGCUGCUAACUGCUCAUUGUUUGCUAAAGCUGAACUCAAGGCAACAUCAACCAUGAGACUGUCCCUGUGUGUCCUGCUGAUCACUCUGGCCCUUUGCUGCUAUGAGGCAAAUGCAACAGCUUGUCCAACUUUUAUGAAUCAACUAAAAAGCUUCUUUUUUGAUCACCCAAGUCUCUACAACAUCAAGCUUCUGACAUUUUUUCCAUCUAGAGAGGCUGCUGAGGCCAAGAUGAAUAUGAAGAAUUGUGUGAAUCUUAUCCCCGGAGAGGGCAGAGGGAAAAUUUACAGUGUUCUGAAAUAUAUAGAAUCUAAAUGUAACAACUAGACUUGAAAUAUCUUACACAUGACAGCCUCUGUCAUUCAAGGGUGGACUGAUCACCCCCAGAUGUGAAGAUUUCAACGUCUUGCUCCAAUAAAGUACUUUCCCUGCA
Phyllostomus discolor (pale spear-nosed bat) is the source of this 466-nucleotide long non-coding RNA. RefSeq lists it as uncharacterized. NCBI's taxonomy places the organism in Eukaryota, Metazoa, Chordata, Mammalia, Chiroptera, Phyllostomidae. The record is from RefSeq and is a predicted model, not a curated record. The transcript is spliced from 3 exons.